CCUACGGGAGGCAGCAGUAAGGAAUAUUGGUCAAUGGACGCAAGUCUGAACCAGCCAUGCCGCGUGAAGGAUGAAGGCCCUCUGGGUUGUAAACUUCUUUUACAGGGGACGAAAAAAGGGAAUUCUUUCUCACUUGACGGUACCCUGGGAAUAAGCACCGGCUAACUCCGUGCCAGCAGCCGCGGUAAUACGGAGGGUGCAAGCGUUAUCCGGAUUUACUGGGUUUAAAGGGUGCGUAGGUGGGUCUGUAAGUCAGUGGUGAAAUCUCCGGGCUUAACCCGGAAAUUGCCAUUGAUACUAUAGGUCUUGAAUCAUCUGGAGGUAAGCGGAAUAUGUCAUGUAGCGGUGAAAUGCUUAGAUAUGACAUAGAACACCAAUUGCGAAGGCAGCUUACUACGGAUGUAUUGACACUGAGGCACGAAAGCGUGGGGAUCAAACAGGAUUAGAUACCCUGGUAGUCCACGCCCUAAACUAUGGAUACUCGACAUCAGCGAUACAUUGUUGGUGUCUGAGCGAAAGCAUUAAGUAUCCCACCUGGGAAGUACGACCGCAAGGUUGAAACUCAAAUGAAUUGACGG
This 578-nucleotide ribosomal RNA is filed under the name uncultured bacterium. RNAcentral describes it as "bacterial SSU rRNA". It matches the Rfam family "Bacterial small subunit ribosomal RNA", at positions 338 to 916 of the family's 1533-position model. The record is from RNAcentral.